UAUUUACCGGGAUCGUACUUUCUCGAUUUUUGACAAAUUAUAAUUUCAGUAAUUUAUUGUUUAAUAAAUAAACGAUUAAUUUUAUUUUUUAUUAAAUGUGUUGAACCAUUUUACCUAACUUAACCUACCUACUUAAAUAAACCAUUCAUAGUAAAUUUGUGUUCUACUAUGUAAAAGUUAAAACUAAUUACCAACUUUUUAACUCGUUAAUAUCUAGCCUUGAAUAUUAUUAUUACCUAUUAGUAAACUACUUACCUACUUAUAUUUUAAUUUUUUUGAC
Cinara cedri is the source of this 280-nucleotide non-coding RNA. NCBI's taxonomy places the organism in Eukaryota, Metazoa, Arthropoda, Insecta, Hemiptera, Aphididae. The record is from the annotation of a GenBank genome assembly.